Molecule: ribosomal RNA, 119 nt
Filed under: Pteropus alecto (black flying fox)
Lineage: Eukaryota; Metazoa; Chordata; Mammalia; Chiroptera; Pteropodidae
Source: RNAcentral
GUCUACGGCCACGCCACCGUGAACACGCUCAAUCCCGUCUGAUCUCGGAAGCUAAGCAGAGUCGGGCCUUGUUAGUAUUUGGAUGGGAGACCACCUAGGAAGACCGGGUGUUAUAGGUG